AGAUCCUCAAGACGAUGACGGGUAGCCGGCCUGAGAGGGCGACCGGCCACACUGGGACUGAGACACGGCCCAGACUCCUACGGGAGGCAGCAGUGGGGAAUAUUGCACAAUGGGCGAAAGCCUGAUGCAGCGACGCAGCGUGAGGGAUGACUGCCUUCGGGUUGUAAACCUCUUUCAGUAGGGAAGAAGCGAAAGUGACGGUACCUGCAGAAGAAGCGCCGGCUAACUACGUGCCAGCAGCCGCGGUAAUACGUAGGGCGCAAGCGUUAUCCGGAAUUAUUGGGCGUAAAGAGCUUGUAGGUGGCUUGUCGCGUCUGCCGUGAAAACCCGAGGCUCAACCUCGGGCGUGCGGUGGGUACGGGCAGGCUAGAGUGUGGUAGGGGAGACUGGAACUCCUGGUGUAGCGGUGAAAUGCGCAGAUAUCAGGAAGAACACCGAUGGCGAAGGCAGGUCUCUGGGCCAUUACUGACACUGAGAAGCGAAAGCAUGGGUAGCGAACAGGAUUAGAUACCCUGGUAGUCCAUGCCGUAAACGUUGGGCACUAGAUGUGGGGGACAUUCCACGUUUUCCGCGUCGUAGCUAACGCAUUAAGUGCCCCGCCUGGGGAAGUACGGACAAACAA
Molecule: ribosomal RNA, 622 nt
Filed under: uncultured Brachybacterium sp.
Lineage: Bacteria; Bacillati; Actinomycetota; Actinomycetes; Micrococcales; Dermabacteraceae
Description: bacterial SSU rRNA
Rfam family: Bacterial small subunit ribosomal RNA
Source: RNAcentral